Molecule: long non-coding RNA, 2175 nt
Organism: Paramacrobiotus metropolitanus
Lineage: Eukaryota; Metazoa; Tardigrada; Eutardigrada; Parachela; Macrobiotidae
Exons: 9
Source: RefSeq, a predicted model, not a curated record
AAAGAUAUGAUUUUCUCAUGCUAUACCGUAUGCGUUGCCGGCUCGUUAUGCCGUACUUACCGUACGAGUAUCAUUUUCCAAACUGAAUUUAUGUUUAGCUAUAGCAAAUUAGGGACAAACUUGCGCUUAAUGCAGGCUGCAGCCAAAAGCAAGGCAUUCUAAGAUGCAUACCAAAUUAAAGUGUGUUUAUAUGUUUUAACCAGAAAUAUUCGGCCGCGGCUGUAUGGAAUCAAGAUUCGAGUUGUCUUACAGUCCGACUUUCACCAGUACGGGUAUAUAUACAAUCUCUGUCCGUGCUGAUAAAAUGCGAAUUAUUGUCGUUGUUUAAUUAAAUAUGUAUCUGUGGUUUUCUGUUUGAUUGCGCACGCUAAGAGGCGCUUUCCUGUCGUGAAACGAGUGCCUAAUCGAGUUGCUUUUCUCUGUGGAGCAAAAGUGCAAACAACUGGUUAUUGUUUACAAGAUUUGCUUUACUAUGGAUUACCAUAUUUGGUACGGGUACUGCACAUUAUCACAAAUUCACAAUAAACACUUGAAUUAACCAACCACUGGGAAAAACUUUUUUUCCCCGUAAGGAAAAUAAAAGCUGAUGUCCGGAAGUGAAAUGGAGUGCUGACAAGGUGCAGACGAAAUGACGGAGAACAGCAUCAAACAUAACAGGAGCCUUUUAAUACCAUCGUCCACGCAAGUCUACCUUGGCUGUAUGCUAUUUAUUUUGUUUUCGUUUGGUCUUGGGAUGUAUUUUUGCUCCCAGGAAUGCAAAAAAUAUGCCAUAGCGUGCACAAAAUCUUUAAGAUUCUAACUUGGCUGACCGGUACCCCGACACGAUGCAACAAUGGCUAUUGCGGCACCGAAUUAAUAGCAUCAUUAUGAAAAAACAAAAUUUCCUCAUUUUCCAAAUGGCCAAAGACUUGCUCUCAUCAUAGUUAAUCUGCUGGACAUUAAAAUUCUUAUUGUUGCGGGACGUCAAAGAAGAGCGGCUCUGACCUUUCAGCGAGGUCCUGCCCAACGAACCACCCUUUGCAGGUUUUACAACAAUGAACUUUAUCGGGUGCAAGGUUUAAGUGUUGGGCCAGAGCCGGACGUUGUUGAUUACUGUAUCGAUGAAGACGACAAAGACUGGCUAGAUCAAAAUGCCGCCUUGAAUAUCACCACCGAGCGGUUUGAAAUGGCCAUCGACUUGCUAGAAAAAUCCGUCGGAAUACGAGAACCCAGUGAAACAGAUGCCGGGAAAAUUAUUAAAGAGCGCGCGAGGAGAUUGUGACAGCGCUGUCCACAUAUUUGAUUAACGCGUCGAAGAAACUGAAACAUCCGCUCUUGUUAAAAGUGAAGAGGGUUAAUAAACGGGAGGCGGCUUCUGGGCACGAUCCGUAUGUAGCAUUUCGGCGACGGGCUGAAAAAAUACAGACACGAAAAAAUCGAAAAAGCGAUGAGCUGAAUUACAUUAUUAUGUACAACCUGAAGGUCGCCCACACCCCGCACAGGAAUGACGGUUUAACGGAAAUUUUAAAACGCAUGAAAGAACGUGAAAUUCUAAAAAUUCGUAUCACAGAAAUGGAAGGGCAUGAGUUUCACAUUAACCACUGUUAUUUCGACGACGUCUGAAAAAGUGCAGACACGAAAAAUUUUGUUACUUGUACGCCGGCUGGGCCACGCAGAGAGAAAGUAACGCCAACAGAUGUCACGGCUUCUCUUCCGCCUGCAACUUCUAAAUUUUAUCGGCAACAAAUCCGAAGAUUCCCUGCAGUAAUUUGCUCUACGCUUGGUUUUCAUCAACUGAAUCAACAAGGAAUCCCACGAUUAUGGCAACCGGAGGAUGAAGAAAUGUUCAAACUGACUGCCCGUUCGCGCCCGAAACGGUUUACUGGUCUUGCGACAAAGCCCACACGAAUUCCGCAACAAGUUGGCACAACAACCCGCUUUAACUUUUGAAACAACCUAUGCCAUUUAGUGUGCAGUGAAAUACAAAGUACGCGUACACAGACCAGAACUUGUAAACUUAACUAUUCGUUCAUAGCUUCGGCACAUUUUUAUUUUUUCUUUACCCUCUGGUGCAUGCCUCUGGGAAACUGGCGUCGAUAUACAUAAAUUGUAAUAUGGAGUUUGUAAUUGCAGCGCAUCAAUUGAGAGAACAAUGUACUGCGCUCUUGUUCAUAAAAACGCGAAAAUAAAUUGAUC